RNAcentral lists this long non-coding RNA (1067 nucleotides) under Salmo salar (Atlantic salmon). RNAcentral describes it as "lncRNA (ENSSSAG00000101291.1, ENSSSAG00000104082.1)". Lineage: Eukaryota; Metazoa; Chordata; Actinopteri; Salmoniformes; Salmonidae. The record is from RNAcentral.
CUCGCAUGCUACUCCUCCUACACCGUUUAAGCUAGAAACGCUGUUCCAAUGGUCUCGAUCGUGUUGCUUGUAUACAACUUUUUGAUAUGUUAUACUUUUUCCGUUAUUCACUUUGUCCUCUUUAUCUCUUCCAUCCGUUUUCAUGGGAUUUCUCAAGAUUCUAAAGCUUCGCAUUGUGACAUCCUUACUACCAAUGGCAAUUCUCUGGUGUCGUAAGGAUUGGACCAAAAUGCAGCGGGUUGCCAGGAAAGUGAUGUCCCCAGUAGGUAGUAUAACAGAACCGUCUGGCGUGUGUGUGUAACAGUGUAGGUUCCGUCCCUCUCUUCACCCCAACCCGGGCUCGAACCAGGGACUCUUGCACACAUCAACAACUGACACCCACCGAAGCAUCGUUACCCAUCGCGCCACAAAAGCCGCGGCCCUUGCAACGCAAGGGGAAACCCUACUUCAAGUCUCAGAGCGAGUGACGUCACUGAUUGAAACCGCUAACUAACUAGCCAUUUCACAUCGGUUACAUGUGGACAUGUUUAAUUAUGGUUAGGCCCCUUUUUUCUCAAUUUCCGCCUGAAUGACUUGCCCAAAGUAAACUGCCUGUAGCUCAGGCCUGAAGCCAGGAUAUGCAUAUAAUUGGUACCAUUGGAAAGAAAACACUUUAAAUAAUGUAGGAGAGUAUAACACAAUAGAUAUGGUAGGAGAAAAUCCAAAGAAAAACUGACCGAAAUUAUUUUUUCUUUGAGAGACCAUCCUCUUAGAAAUGCAAGAGAAAGGUCAUAUUGUAAAUUAGCUCCCUGGAUGGAAUUCCUACAGCUUCCACAGGGUGUCAGCAGUCUAUGUUCAAGGCUUCAGGCAUGUAACUUCAAAAACUAAUAAGAAAUAACAGUUUUUGUAGAAGGACACAGUCCUGGAAAUCCGUGUUUGCGCGCACCAUGAAGAAAUUUUGGACCUGCUAAAAUCGGUUUCCUACUUAAAUGUACCUAAAUGUUUAAAAUCUAUAAUAUUUAUGAUAAUUUAUUUGAAUUACGCGCCCUACAGUUUCACCGGAAGUUGUCCCGCUAGCGGCACCCCGA